Molecule: ribosomal RNA, 497 nt
Filed under: uncultured bacterium
Lineage: Bacteria
Description: partial 16S ribosomal RNA
Rfam family: Bacterial small subunit ribosomal RNA
Source: RNAcentral
GAUGAACGCUGGCGGCGUGCCUAAUACAUGCAAGUCGAGCGAACAGACGAGGAUCUUGCGCCUCUGACGUUAGCGGCGGAGGGGUGAGUAACACGUGGAUACCCUACCUAUAUGACGGGGAUAACUUCGGGAAACCGGAGCUAAUACCGGAGAACAUGUGGAACCGGAUGGUUCAAGAGUGAAAUACGGGCUUGCGGUUACUUAUGCAUGGAUCCGGGCCGCUUUGGCUGGUGGGUCAGAUAACGGCUUACCAAGGCAACUAUUCGUAGCCGACCGCAGUGGGUGGUAGGCCACCCUGGAACUGGGACACCCUCCAGACUCCUACGGGACGCCCCAGUCGGGUACCUUACGCAAUAGGCGAGAGCCUGACGGAGUGGCGCCGAGUGAGUGAUGAAGGUCCUCGGAUCGUAAAGAUCUGUUAUUAGUGAUAAACAAAUGCGUAAGUAGCUAUACACGUCUUGACGGUACCUGGUAAGAAAGCCCCGGCUAACUACGUG